This 780-nucleotide ribosomal RNA is filed under the name Exiguobacterium sp. As-9. RNAcentral's name for it is "bacterial SSU rRNA". It matches the Rfam family "Bacterial small subunit ribosomal RNA", at positions 82 to 849 of the family's 1533-position model. Lineage: Bacteria; Bacillati; Bacillota; Bacilli; Caryophanales. The record is from RNAcentral.
GUCGACGGAAUGAGCGGCGGACGGGUGAGUAACACGUAAAGAACCUGCCCUCAGGUCUGGGAUAACCACGAGAAAUCGGGGCUAAUACCGGAUGGGUCAUCGGACCGCAUGGUCCGAGGAUGAAAGGCGCUCCGGCGUCGCCUGGGGAUGGCUUUGCGGUGCAUUAGCUAGUUGGUGGGGUAAUGGCCCACCAAGGCGACGAUGCAUAGCCGACCUGAGAGGGUGAUCGGCCACACUGGGACUGAGACACGGCCCAGACUCCUACGGGAGGCAGCAGUAGGGAAUCUUCCACAAUGGACGAAAGUCUGAUGGAGCAACGCCGCGUGAACGAUGAAGGCCUUCGGGUCGUAAAGUUCUGUUGUAAGGGAAGAACAAGUGCCGCAGGCAAUGGCGGCACCUUGACGGUACCUUGCGAGAAAGCCACGGCUAACUACGUGCCAGCAGCCGCGGUAAUACGUAGGUGGCAAGCGUUGUCCGGAAUUAUUGGGCGUAAAGCGCGCGCAGGCGGCCUCUUAAGUCUGAUGUGAAAGCCCCCGGCUCAACCGGGGAGGGCCAUUGGAAACUGGGAGGCUUGAGUAUAGGAGAGAAGAGUGGAAUUCCACGUGUAGCGGUGAAAUGCGUAGAGAUGUGGAGGAACACCAGUGGCGAAGGCGACUCUUUGGCCUAUAACUGACGCUGAGGCGCGAAAGCGUGGGGAGCAAACAGGAUUAUAUACCCUGGUAGUCCACGCCGUAAACGAUGAGUGCUAUGUGUUGGAGGGUUUCCGCCCUUCAGUGCUGA